CCUACGGGGGGCAGCAGUGGGGGAUAUUGCACAAUGGGGGAAACCCUGAUGCAGCGACGCCGCGUGUGGGAAGACGGUCCUCUGGAUUGUAAACCACUGUCCCCAGGGACGAAGAUGACGGUACCUGGGGAUGAAGCUCCGGCUAAAUACUUGCCAGCAGCCGCGGUAAUAAGUAGGGAGCGAGCAUUGUCAGGAAUUACUGGGAGUAAGGGGAGCGUAGGCGGGACUGCAAGUUGGGUGUCAAAUCUACCGGCUCAACCGGUAGCCGCACUCGAAACUGCAGUUCUUGAGUGAAGUAGAGGUAAGCGGAAUUCCGAGUGUAGCGGUGAAAUGCGUAGAUAUUAGGAGGAACACCAGUGGCGAAGGCGGCCUGCUGGGCUUUUACUGACGCUGAGGCUCGAAAGUGUGGGGAGCAAACAGGAUUAGAUACCCUAGUAGUC
Molecule: ribosomal RNA, 440 nt
Filed under: uncultured bacterium
Lineage: Bacteria
Description: partial 16S ribosomal RNA
Rfam family: Bacterial small subunit ribosomal RNA
Source: RNAcentral